This 253-nucleotide ribosomal RNA is filed under the name uncultured Syntrophobacter sp. RNAcentral's name for it is "partial 16S ribosomal RNA". It matches the Rfam family "Bacterial small subunit ribosomal RNA", at positions 524 to 776 of the family's 1533-position model. The record is from RNAcentral. Lineage: Bacteria; Pseudomonadati; Thermodesulfobacteriota; Syntrophobacteria; Syntrophobacterales; Syntrophobacteraceae.
UACGGAGGGUGCAAGCGUUAUUCGGAAUUAUUGGUCGUAAAGCGCGUGUAGGCGGGGGAGCAAGUCUGAUGUGAAAGCCCUGGGCUUAACCCGGGAAGUGCAUUGGAAACUGUUUCUCUUGAGUACUGGAGAGGAAGGGGGAAUUCCCGGUGUAGAGGUGAAAUUCGUAGAGAUCGGGAGGAAUACCAGUGGCGUAGGCGCCUUUCUGGACGGUUACUGACGCUGAGACGCGAAAGCGUGGGGAGCAAACAGG